This 67-nucleotide transfer RNA is filed under the name Rasbora beauforti. RNAcentral describes it as "tRNA-Met". Lineage: Eukaryota; Metazoa; Chordata; Actinopteri; Cypriniformes; Danionidae. The record is from RNAcentral.
GAUAGUCAGCUAAAAAAGCUUUCGGGCCCAUACCCCGGACAUGAUGGUUAAAAUCCUUCCCCCAUCA